UACGGAGGGGGCUAGCGUUGUUCGGAAUUACUGGGCGUAAAGCGCACGUAGGCGGACUGUUAAGUCGGGGGUGAAAGCCUGUGGCUCAACCACAGAAUUGCCUUCGAUACUGUAGAGCUUGAGACCGGAAGAGGUAAGUGGAACUGCGAGUGUAGAGGUGAAAUUCGUAGAUAUUCGCAAGAACACCAGUGGCGAAGGCGGCUUACUGGUCCGGUUCUGACGCUGAGGCGCGAAAGCGUGGGGAGCAAACAGG
Molecule: ribosomal RNA, 253 nt
Filed under: uncultured bacterium
Lineage: Bacteria
Description: partial 16S ribosomal RNA
Rfam family: Bacterial small subunit ribosomal RNA
Source: RNAcentral